AUAUGGCAGCUACCACCACCAUAGCUUCGAGAAAUCACAUAUAUUAUUCUACUCUACUCACGAAUGAACACGAGGAAUAUUUGUUAGUGCUGUAACAAUAGCUUCACAAUCUUCUCUUGCCAUCUUAAAUGACCAAGCCAAUUACAUGCCAACAUGAGAAGAUAAAUAAAAUGGAAAUAUGCAAGCUCACUACACAUUGCACAAACUCGCAUGACAGAUUAAGCAAGCAAAUGUCUAACCAUACCUGCGGAAAAAGGCAGGAAACAACACAUUGUAGGUAAAAAUUAGUAAUAAACAGAGGAAAUUAGUAACAAGCAAAUAAAUCUGAGAGGAAACCUCUGAACUAAUGAUCUAUAGUGUUCAAUGGCAACAAAAAUGACACCGUCAUGUUCAAGAAAAUCCAUCCACGUCAAUCCUGAAAAUCGUCGUUCCUUCAAUCGGGGCCAAGAAUGUGAUCCUGGGCUUGCCUCCCUAUCGUCAGAGCAAACAAAAAUCAACCUUAUUCUAUAUCCAGUCAUGGUAUAGAAAGGCACCGCCGCUGCUCCAUGACUCAAAAAAUAACAUUAGGUGUGAAGCAUUGCAGUUUAAAUAGGAUGCAUGAUGUGAUCCAUUAAGCACCAAAGCAAAUACUUCUAGAUCAUUUACAUUCAUUAUUUGAUGCUAAGUAGAAGGUCAUUUGUUGAGGUAAACUGGUUAAUAAAUUAAAU
RNAcentral lists this long non-coding RNA (707 nucleotides) under Triticum aestivum (bread wheat). RNAcentral's name for it is "long non-coding RNA (TAES_LNC014673)". The record is from RNAcentral. Lineage: Eukaryota; Viridiplantae; Streptophyta; Magnoliopsida; Poales; Poaceae.